UACGUAGGUGGCAAGCGUUGUCCGGAUUUACUGGGUGUAAAGGGCGUGCAGCCGGGCUGACAAGUCAGAUGUGAAAUCCCGCGGCUCAACCGCGGAACUGCAUUUGAAACUGUCAGUCUUGAGUACCGGAGAGGUCACCGGAAUUCCUUGUGUAGCGGUGAAAUGCGUAGAUAUAAGGAAGAACACCAGUGGCGAAGGCGGAUGACUGGACGGCAACUGACGGUGAGGCGCGAAAGCGUGGGGAGCAAACAGG
This 253-nucleotide ribosomal RNA is filed under the name uncultured bacterium. RNAcentral's name for it is "partial 16S ribosomal RNA". It matches the Rfam family "Bacterial small subunit ribosomal RNA", at positions 524 to 776 of the family's 1533-position model. The record is from RNAcentral.